Long non-coding RNA from Ornithodoros turicata, 1079 nucleotides. RefSeq lists it as uncharacterized. The transcript has 4 exons. The record is from RefSeq and is a predicted model, not a curated record. NCBI's taxonomy places the organism in Eukaryota, Metazoa, Arthropoda, Arachnida, Ixodida, Argasidae.
CUUGUUUGUCUACAUAGCGUCGUGGCGUGUGUGGGUGUUCGAAGACACUUUGACGAUAUCGUCAAAAAGGCUGCACCAUGGAAUCAUCCUGCAUCUGCCAUUAUGCUGUGUGGCAGUGCUACAGUGUCUGUGCUGCACUUGAAAAACCAGUGUAGUGGGAUGGGCAUUGUGGACACUUGUUUUCGUUGGCAGCCAACAUCUCUCACUUGAAGGUCUAAAGGAGCAUCUAUAGAAAUUGACAGGGCAUAAGCAUGGAAAGAACAUUAGAAAGAAACACGGGCAAGUGCUUCCGGAAUUGGCCGCGCAGCGAAAUGCGUUAGGUGAGUGAAUAAAGCAUGGAAGAAAUGAGGUGAAAUUGAUUUCGGGAACGCUUUAGAGUGUCUAUUUAGAAAAUGUGAAUUUACCUUGAAUGUGUGUGAGGUAGAAAUAUUUUUAACAUUGGAAAGAAACAUCGGCAGGUGGUUCGGAGAUGUGACACACAUGUGAGUCGUGAAAUAAUUGAGCGAAUGACAUGCAAUUUGUUUCUGGAGUGCUUGAGAAUACCUACUUAUAGGAUAUGCACUUACCUUGGCGUGAGUGGGGUAGAAAUGUUUUUAACAUCACAAAGAAAUUUCUCAGACUGCUUAAGACAGGAGCAGUAUUUCCAAAAUGUGUUCAUUAUGUGAAUAAAAAACUGAGUGAAUGAGAUUAAAUUGAUUUCUGGAUUGCUUCAGUGAUGAUGACAGGAACAUAUGAAGGCCUAUAAUUUGCAGUGUUGAGUCUAGAUGUGUCACCCGUGUGCUGGUUUCACUAUUACGAAUAAUCUUGAUGUAUUGUUUGUCCCCAAAGCUGAUAGUUUUACACCGUUUUCGUUGAUGGGGGGAGGGGGAACAGGCACCUUGGACAUCAUUGCUGUUGUGUGACCUCUCUCUUUUAUAGACUUAGGCUGCACAGCCGGAAUCCUGUGGAUCAAACAGAUGUAAUGUUCAGAAUCUGGCUGUCCACUGGCUGAAAUUUCGCACACUGCUAAAGACAGGAGCAGUAUUUCCAAAAUGUGUCCAUUAUGUGAAUAAAAAACUGAGUGAAUGAGAUGAAAUUGA